This 874-nucleotide ribosomal RNA is filed under the name uncultured Acidobacteriaceae bacterium. RNAcentral's name for it is "bacterial SSU rRNA". It matches the Rfam family "Bacterial small subunit ribosomal RNA", at positions 8 to 916 of the family's 1533-position model. Lineage: Bacteria; Pseudomonadati; Acidobacteriota; Terriglobia; Terriglobales; Acidobacteriaceae. The record is from RNAcentral.
AGAGUUUGAUCCUGGCUCAGAAUCAACGCUGGCGGCGCGCUUAACACAUGCAAGUCGAGCGAGAAAGUGGAGCAAUCCAUGAGUAAAGCGGCGUACGGGUGAGUAACACGUGGAUGAUCUACCUUUUAGUGGGGGAUAACCCUGGGAAACCGGGGCUAAUACCGCAUAAGCCUGUAAAGGGAAAGCAGCAAUGCGCUGAAAGAGGAGUCCGCGGCCGAUUAGCUAGUUGGUGAGGUAACGGCCCACCAAGGCGAUGAUCGGUAGCCGGCCUGAGAGGGCACACGGCCACACUGGCACUGAAACACGGGCCAGACUCCUACGGGAGGCAGCAGUGGGGAAUCUUGCACAAUGGGGGCAACCCUGAUGCAGCGACGCCGCGUGAGCGAUGAAGCCCUUCGGGGUGUAAAGCUCUUUCGGCAGGGACGAUAAUGACGGUACCUGAAGAAGAAGCUGCGGCUAACUACGUGCCAGCAGCCGCGGUAAUACGUAGGCAGCGAGCGUUGUUCGGAAUUACUGGGCGUAAAGAGUGUGUAGGCGGUGCUCUAAGUUCGGUGUGAAAUCUCCUGGCUUAACUGGGAGGGUGCGCCGGAAACUGGAGUGCUCGAGCGUGGGAGAGGAAAGCGGAAUUCCUGGUGUAGCGGUGAAAUGCGUAGAUAUCAGGGGGAACACCUGCGGUGUAGACGGCUUUCUGGACCAUUGCUGACGCUGAGACACGAAAGCGUGGGUAGCAAACAGGAUUAGAUACCCUGGUAGUCCACGCCCUAAACGAUGCAUACUUGGUGUCGGCCAUUCAGUUGGUCGGUGCCGGAGCUAACGCGUUAAGUAUGCCGCCUGGGGAGUACGGUCGCAAGGCUGAAACUCAAAGGAAUGACGG